UUUACCUACGGGACGCAGCAGUGGGGGAUAUUGCACAAUGGGCGAAAGCCUGAUGCAGCGACGCCGCGUGAGGGAAGACGGUCUUCGGAUUGUAAACCUCUGUCUUUGGGGAAGAAAUCAGACGGUACCCAAAGAGGAAGCUCCGGCUAACUACGUGCCAGCAGCCGCGGUAAUACGUAGGGAGCGAGCGUUGUCCGGAAUUACUGGGCGUAAAGGGAGCGUAGGCGGGCUUGUAAGUUGAAUGUCUAAUCCACCGGCUCAACCGGAGAUCGCGUUCAAAACUGCAGGGCUUGAGUGGAGAAGAG
Molecule: ribosomal RNA, 305 nt
Filed under: uncultured bacterium
Lineage: Bacteria
Description: bacterial SSU rRNA
Rfam family: Bacterial small subunit ribosomal RNA
Source: RNAcentral